UUUUAUAAUUUUAGAAUCUCCAUAUAAAAUCACCGACCGAUUAAGUACAGUGUCGUCGGUGCAGAUACGGCGGGUUGUACGCUCGCAGCGCGUUUGUCGGAGAAUCCCACUUGGAAGGUGCUGCUCAUCGAAGCCGCCCGAACAUUUAGCUAUGGAUAUGGAUACCAGCAGUUGCGUGUGGUGAAUGCCAGCAUAAUACUAGUGAUUAUGGCUAGACAUCCUAAUGGACCUAUGUCAAAGCUAGCUGAGAAAGCAGAAAACAUGAUUAAGCAGGACCACAACUACAUUUGAACUCCUUUCGUGGUAUGAACAAAUUCAUUCCACAUAAAGCCUUAGAUGUUAUUAUUAUUAGUGCUAUGCGAGAACAAAAGUCGAGCAUCAAGGCAAUAAACAUUUCAAAUUUCUAAGUUGUGAAAUAAAAAUUGUUUUUUAUUUAUAUAAAGCGUAUAUACAUAUGUA
This is a long non-coding RNA of Zeugodacus cucurbitae (melon fly), 459 nucleotides long. RefSeq lists it as uncharacterized. NCBI's taxonomy places the organism in Eukaryota, Metazoa, Arthropoda, Insecta, Diptera, Tephritidae. The record is from RefSeq and is a predicted model, not a curated record. The transcript is spliced from 2 exons.